Pezoporus occidentalis (night parrot) is the source of this 2208-nucleotide long non-coding RNA. RefSeq lists it as uncharacterized. The transcript has 2 exons. NCBI's taxonomy places the organism in Eukaryota, Metazoa, Chordata, Aves, Psittaciformes, Psittacidae. The record is from RefSeq and is a predicted model, not a curated record.
GCCCCGCGGGCGGUGGGGAAGCGGGUUGGGGUCGUCCCGGUGCGGGGUUAGCAGCGGGCUGUUGUUGGCGGUGCGGCCCGAGCCUUGGCUCGUUGCGGUGUUAAUGGGCUGAUAAGGCGGCGUGUGUUUGCUCAAUCUCGGCUUUUAUGUGGUGGGGGAGAUAAGGAAAGGCUGCUUGGGGCCUGCCCGCGCCCUGCCUCGGCCUGGCUGCGUCGCGGUGGGAGCUCAGGCUAAUAAACACGUAAAUGUACCACAUUCCCCUAAACGCAGCUACUUGCUGGUGUGGAAAUAGAGGUUUGGGGUUUAAAAUCGGCUGUUGGACGCAGUUAUAGUCACCUAUGUCCGCUGUAAAGGUUCCUUUUCACCUCGGCAUCCCUGAGGGGCUCCGGAUGGGACUCAUUUCCCGGCACCGCAGCUCAUGGGUCGGGUUGAAGAGAGGGUUUCCCCAUGUGUUGGCUUGGGAGAUGGGCGUGAUUGAGCUGAGAUGGUCCAAGUGACUGAAACAGCACCAAGAAUCCCUUGUCAAGGCUAAGGGUUUAGUGCUGGAGCAUGAUCCGGGUCGUGGUGGUCACCCAUGGACCUCCUGUGUGUGAUGUGACCUCUUACUGCAGCUCAGACACGUGCUGCUGUAGUGCAUUGGCUCAGUUGUGGUGAUUUUAACGCAGUAAUGCAAUGUGGGUUGGUAAGUUGUUAAUGUUUUCUUUGUCUCUAGGCUUAUUCAACAGUACUGAGCUACUUAAAACACAUCGUGUCUGUUGAACCCUACUAAACAACCAAAAACCAACCCCAAACCUAACCGUCCCUCCUGGUUUCCAGCUCAGAACUGAUGUGGAAACAUGCGUUCACUUUUGGGUUGUGUUUGUCUCACUGGUAUAUGACUGUUCAGUAGGCAUUUAAAAGGUUAUAUCUGUGAUGUGAGGUCUUGAGGAGGGUGGAUGUAACAGUGAGAUCUUCAAGAGGGUGGAUAUAAGAGUGAGGUCAUUAUUUUCCCUAUAAAAAAGACACUUUUCAGGCACAAGAAAUAUCUUUAAUUGCAUUUUUUUCCUCCAUUUAAAAGAAAUAAAUCUGUUGGCAGCACAAUUCCACUGAAGGGUGGAGGAUGGAAGGAACUGCACUGAGUUUCAUCUCCAACUUCUAUGACAACUGAUGCAGCUGAGGCCUGUUUAUCCCAGGGUGGGGUUCCCCAGUGCUUCCAAGACUCGCUGCUCCCUGUUCCACACUGGAUUCCUUCCCUUCCUGCUUCCCAAGUAUCCUGCAGUUUGGGUUGGGGCUGAGCUGGUGUCAGUCCUCACCAGAUGAGGAGCUGUAUGAAACAGAACACUGGGAGCUUUUUGUUCAGUGGUUCACUUCUGAAGCCUGUGAUAAAAGUGGUGCUUUAAGCCUGCUCUGCUGUUUGGCAUCUUCAUUCCAUAGCCCAGACCUCCAGGAACCACCCCGUGGAGACCAUCAGCAACUACACUUUCCCCUGGGAUUCACCUGCCAAGCCUGUUGUGAUGGUUCCUCGGUGUCUCCAGCGUCCUGGAGUAACCAACAGUGUGAAACUGGGUUUGGUUUUGAGCCUCUGUAAUGGUCACAAGUGUUCCUCUGCCACCGCACCCUGCACAUGCUGCCACCUCAUCCACACUCAGGUCUUGUGCCGUGUUGUCAUCUGUCCUGUGCUUUCCAGGCCUGUGUUCCUCAAAGGAGCUGGAUCUGAGGAUGACACCCUGGCUAAACCAGUGACUCAGCGCAGGCAUUUCCUGUUGAAGGCGGGUGUCCCCUCGGGCAGGGCCUGGUUGACUGGUGGAAGGUGAAGCACCUUGCCUGUCAUCUGCAGGAAGUGAUGGAGGUCAACAGCAACCUGCAGAGAUCUGGGUAAUGUCCAGCACCCAAAAAAGUCCCACUAGGAGGGGUCCUGCUCCGGAGCUGUCAAGUGAUUCUCCAUAUGCAGCAGAAGUGCUGAGGAUGCUUCUCCUCCUCCUUCAAAUGAAGAUCUGCUGUGGCAGGAAUUGCAUAAGGAAUGUUCCAACCAGGAGUAGAAAGUGUUUGAGAAAGGAAGGGAGUAAAUCAUUCUAAAGGCUGGUUGUAAAGCAAAGCAAAGGGACUUGCAGAAGACAUCCAGUUCUUUGGGCUGAAGUGGAAAGAUGGACAUCAGCACAUCCCCGUGGAUAGGGUCCAUAAUAUCACAUCCGUGUCCUCAGCAGCUGACAGUAAAGGAAUUGCUGCUUC